This 27-nucleotide non-coding RNA is filed under the name Homo sapiens (human). The record is from RNAcentral. Lineage: Eukaryota; Metazoa; Chordata; Mammalia; Primates; Hominidae.
UAGGUUGUCUUCAUAUGGCUGGCGAUC